Molecule: non-coding RNA, 99 nt
Filed under: human gut metagenome
Description: SAM riboswitch (S box leader)
Rfam family: SAM riboswitch aptamer (S box leader)
About the family: The SAM riboswitch is found upstream of a number of genes which code for proteins involved in methionine or cysteine biosynthesis in Gram-positive bacteria.
Source: RNAcentral
GUUAUCAAGAGUGGACGAGAGAACCGGCUCAAUAACUCCACAGCAACCUGUUUUAAAAUAAGGUGCUAAUACCGGCAAAGCAAUUGCUUUGGAUGAUGA